Molecule: ribosomal RNA, 465 nt
Filed under: Vreelandella stevensii
Lineage: Bacteria; Pseudomonadati; Pseudomonadota; Gammaproteobacteria; Oceanospirillales; Halomonadaceae
Description: partial 16S ribosomal RNA
Rfam family: Bacterial small subunit ribosomal RNA
Source: RNAcentral
CCUACGGGAGGCAGCAGUGGGGAAUAUUGGACAAUGGGGGCAACCCUGAUCCAGCCAUGCCGCGUGUGUGAAGAAGGCCCUCGGGUUGUAAAGCACUUUCAGUGAGGAAGAACGCCUGGUGGUUAAUACCCAUCAGGAAAGACAUCACUCACAGAAGAAGCACCGGCUAACUCCGUGCCAGCAGCCGCGGUAAUACGGAGGGUGCGAGCGUUAAUCGGAAUUACUGGGCGUAAAGCGCGCGUAGGUGGCUUGAUAAGCCGGUUGUGAAAGCCCCGGGCUCAACCUGGGAACGGCAUCCGGAACUGUCAAGCUAGAGUGCAGGAGAGGAAGGUAGAAUUCCCGGUGUAGCGGUGAAAUGCGUAGAGAUCGGGAGGAAUACCAGUGGCGAAGGCGGCCUUCUGGACUGACACUGACACUGAGGUGCGAAAGCGUGGGUAGCGAACAGGAUUAGAUACCCGAGUAGUC